Mauremys reevesii (Reeves's turtle) is the source of this 1922-nucleotide long non-coding RNA. RefSeq lists it as uncharacterized. The record is from RefSeq and is a predicted model, not a curated record. NCBI's taxonomy places the organism in Eukaryota, Metazoa, Chordata, Testudines, Geoemydidae. The transcript has 4 exons.
GCAUGGCCGUUUCUGCUGCUGAUGCAGUCCUAGUAACUGGGGAAUUCAAGGCUGAAUAACUUUCAUGCUAAGAUUACAAGAUGAAGAGGAGCCAGGAGCUCCCACUUAAAAUUCUUUAUCUUACAAAAGGCAAUUGACUGUAGAGUGUGAAACAGACCAUUGUGCUGGUGUGCUGAGGGCCAGCAGCCGACCCAGCCUUCCCGUCACUUACUAAUUCCCCCAGAGAAGCCCUGAUUGAGGGGAGGAAGAUUAAUUAUCUAAUCAGACUUGGGGCUGAUGAGCUAAGGGGUUAAUUAUCCCAUCAGCUGAGAUGGUAGUUAAAAAGCACAGGCACUGGGUACAAAAGGAAGGCUUGCAGAGCCCAGAGGAAGAUAGGUUUCUGGCUGGUGAGAGGCCUCCUCCUCCUCCUUGGAGACAGGGCUGAGGAUUGAAGGUACUGCCGUUGGCGAGGCUGCAGAAUCCGGACUGGUGAGAUCAGCGAUGGACACCAAUGGUGGAUCACAGGGGACCAAGACAGAUGUUCUCUCUAAACAAGCAGAAGGCAAUACCACAAUAAGUGACUUUUGAUUGAGGAGGAGAGGAAGGACUUUCAUCUACCCCAUGUGGACCUUAGUGAUAGACACAAUCUUAUAGCACAGAAAUCCUACCUCUACAGCCAGCGAUUGGCUAAGAGUGAAAUUUCCUGGAAGCCAGGUGGCUUUAUGAACACUUGGCAAAUGAACGGUUACUUCUUUUUAACAUGCCCGCAAGAGAAAGCAUCAAGUUCUUCUGCUCCUGUGGUUCAUGAUAUCACUGCAGGUCUCCUCUCCUUCCAUGCAUGUGUCUGCCCAGUAAAUAAAUCCAUGGUUGAAGAGUCAUGCAUCCCAUUGAAAACCUUCCGCCCACAAUAUAGGAGAAACAUGCAGAACACGAGAAGAUAAGAACAUUGGCAAGUAUAUGGUUAGCCAGCAUAUUCUCUGCUCCUCUGCCAUUGUUAAUGGUGGGAAAGAAUAAAAAGCAAUGCUCUGCAUUUUACAGAAAGCCGAUUCCUCUGUUCAGAAAAUCUUGCUUUGCCAGUAUUGCCCACCUGUGGGGUUUUACCGCAGAGUGAAGUGGUAUUAAUUUCAAAUGGGAAUGAAUAGCUGGACCGUUGGGGCUCUGUACACAAGAUCCACCAGGGACACCAGUUAUAAAAUGUCUCUUGACCACUGAGAUUCUCAGGUAAUUCUUCAGCUGCAGAACUCAUCCGUAAGGGGUUUUACCUUGUGCAUGUGUGAGAUUGUUUGCAUAGGCUGACCCUGGGUUAAGACAGGGGUUUACAAAUCACGUUGCCCGAUUUUCUGCUUGUUCAAAUUCUUCUCUCCUCUGCUGAAAAAGCCUCGUGAGCCCCCAAACCACGUGUUUAAAGUCCUGAUACCACGUCUGCAUCGCUUCAGAGCUGAGCUCCUGCAUGUCCAUGCAAUUCCUCGUCUUCAUAUUUGCAAGAUUCCCAACCUGGGUUUGUGCUGGUCAUGCUACAAUCCGCCCUUUGCUCAGACAAGACUCUCACCACCCAGGAAGAGAAUGUAGAACCUUUAGCAGCUUGUUUUUGCAAUAGGAGGUAUAAAGAGUGGAUGAUUGUCCAGUGUCAUCUACAUAAAGAAGAGGUGUGAAAAACUUCCCAGUCCAUAAGGUCCCUUCAUAAGAAUAGGUCUUCCUUUGUGCUAUGCUGUGAGAAAAUGCUUAUAGGAGGAUUCUGCCUAAGGUGGCAUCCGAGAUAGAGGAUCCUUCUUUCAGAGUAUAGUCUUUUAUCUGUGAGAGCCUUAUGAAGAGGGAUAGGACAAAUUAAACAUCAUCGCACUCAUUCAUAGAAAAGUUUCACCAUGAGCUAGCUAGCAAGCUGAACCAGCAAGGAUGUAGGAGGUGCGGGAGCCAGGGAUGGGGGAAAUGUGUUGGCCAAAGGC